Molecule: ribosomal RNA, 253 nt
Filed under: uncultured bacterium
Lineage: Bacteria
Description: partial 16S ribosomal RNA
Rfam family: Bacterial small subunit ribosomal RNA
Source: RNAcentral
UACGGGGGGGGUAAGCGUUGUUCGGAAUUACUGGGCGUAAAGGGCUCGUAGGCGGCCAACUAAGUCAGACGUGAAAUCCCUCAGCUUAACUGGGGAACUGCGUCCGAUACUGGAUGGCUUGAAUCCGGGAGAGGGAUGCAGAAUUCCAGGUGUAGCGGUGAAAUGCGUAGAUAUCUGGAGGAAUACCGGUGGCGAAGGCGGCAUCCUGGACCGGCAUUGACGCUGAUGAGCGAAAGCUAGGGGAGCAAACGGG